This 3147-nucleotide ribosomal RNA is filed under the name Drosophila melanogaster (fruit fly). Its description in RNAcentral is "eukaryotic LSU rRNA". The stretch from base 573 to 3147 matches the Rfam family "Eukaryotic large subunit ribosomal RNA", at positions 1 to 2211 of the family's 3401-position model. The record is from RNAcentral. Lineage: Eukaryota; Metazoa; Arthropoda; Insecta; Diptera; Drosophilidae.
ACUCUAAGCGGUGGAUCACUCGGCUCAUGGGUCGAUGAAGAACGCAGCAAACUGUGCGUCAUCGUGUGAACUGCAGGACACAUGAACAUCGACAUUUUGAACGCAUAUCGCAGUCCAUGCUGUUAUGUACUUUAAUUAAUUUUAUAGUGCUGCUUGGACUACAUAUGGUUGAGGGUUGUAAGACUAUGCUAAUUAAGUUGCUUAUAAAUUUUUAUAAGCAUAUGGUAUAUUAUUGGAUAAAUAUAAUAAUUUUUAUUCAUAAUAUUAAAAAAUAAAUGAAAAACAUUAUCUCACAUUUGAAUGUGAAAAACGAAGAGAAAUAUUUUCUUUUUCAAUCAAAUAAUACUGAGAAAUGUCUAGCAUAAAAAAUUGAAAUAUUUUUCAUCUAGAAUUGUCUCUUAUUAAUGAUUCGGAAAUAGAAAAAUCUUGGUUAUGUUAUUAUUCUUCGUUGGUUCGUUAAAAAUGGAUAAAUAAAAACUUUGCAUACAAGAAUUAAUAAAAAUGUUAUAACGAAUUUAAUUAAAUGUUUUAUCAUUAUAUAUAAAGAAUUUAUGGCAAGAUAAAGUUAUAUACAACCUCAACUCAUAUGGGACUACCCCCUGAAUUUAAGCAUAUUAAUUAGGGGAGGAAAAGAAACUAACAAGGAUUUUCUUAGUAGCGGCGAGCGAAAAGAAAACAGUUCAGCACUAAGUCACUUUGUCUAUAUGGCAAAUGUGAGAUGCAGUGUAUGGAGCGUCAAUAUUCUAGUAUGAGAAAUUAACGAUUUAAGUCCUUCUUAAAUGAGGCCAUUUACCCAUAGAGGGUGCCAGGCCCGUAUAACGUUAAUGAUUACUAGAUGAUGUUUCCAAAGAGUCGUGUUGCUUGAUAGUGCAGCACUAAGUGGGUGGUAAACUCCAUCUAAAACUAAAUAUAACCAUGAGACCGAUAGUAAACAAGUACCGUGAGGGAAAGUUGAAAAGAACUCUGAAUAGAGAGUUAAACAGUACGUGAAACUGCUUAGAGGUUAAGCCCGAUGAACCUGAAUAUCCGUUAUGGAAAAUUCAUCAUUAAAAUUGUAAUAUUUAAAUAAUAUUAUGAGAAUAGUGUGCAUUUUUUCCAUAUAAGGACAUUGUAAUCUAUUAGCAUAUACCAAAUUUAUCAUAAAAUAUAACUUAUAGUUUAUUCCAAUUAAAUUGCUUGCAUUUUAACACAGAAUAAAUGUUAUUAAUUUGAUAAAGUGCUGAUAGAUUUAUAUGAUUACAGUGCGUUAAUUUUUCGGAAUUAUAUAAUGGCAUAAUUAUCAUUGAUUUUUGUGUUUAUUAUAUGCACUUGUAUGAUUAACAAUGCGAAAGAUUCAGGAUACCUUCGGGACCCGUCUUGAAACACGGACCAAGGAGUCUAACAUAUGUGCAAGUUAUUGGGAUAUAAACCUAAUAGCGUAAUUAACUUGACUAAUAAUGGGAUUAGUUUUUUAGCUAUUUAUAGCUAAUUAACACAAUCCCGGGGCGUUCUAUAUAGUUAUGUAUAAUGUAUAUUUAUAUUAUUUAUGCCUCUAACUGGAACGUACCUUGAGCAUAUAUGCUGUGACCCGAAAGAUGGUGAACUAUACUUGAUCAGGUUGAAGUCAGGGGAAACCCUGAUGGAAGACCGAAACAGUUCUGACGUGCAAAUCGAUUGUCAGAAUUGAGUAUAGGGGCGAAAGACCAAUCGAACCAUCUAGUAGCUGGUUCCUUCCGAAGUUUCCCUCAGGAUAGCUGGUGCAUUUUAAUAUUAUAUAAAAUAAUCUUAUCUGGUAAAGCGAAUGAUUAGAGGCCUUAGGGUCGAAACGAUCUUAACCUAUUCUCAAACUUUAAAUGGGUAAGAACCUUAACUUUCUUGAUAUGAAGUUCAAGGUUAUGAUAUAAUGUGCCCAGUGGGCCACUUUUGGUAAGCAGAACUGGCGCUGUGGGAUGAACCAAACGUAAUGUUACGGUGCCCAAAUUAACAACUCAUGCAGAUACCAUGAAAGGCGUUGGUUGCUUAAAACAGCAGGACGGUGAUCAUGGAAGUCGAAAUCCGCUAAGGAGUGUGUAACAACUCACCUGCCGAAGCAACUAGCCCUUAAAAUGGAUGGCGCUUAAGUUGUAUACCUAUACAUUACCGCUAAAGUAGAUGAUUUAUAUUACUUGUGAUAUAAAUUUUGAAACUUUAGUGAGUAGGAAGGUACAAUGGUAUGCGUAGAAGUGUUUGGCGUAAGCCUGCAUGGAGCUGCCAUUGGUACAGAUCUUGGUGGUAGUAGCAAAUAAUCGAAUGAGACCUUGGAGGACUGAAGUGGAGAAGGGUUUCGUGUGAACAGUGGUUGAUCACGAGUUAGUCGGUCCUAAGUUCAAGGCGAAAGCCGAAAAUUUUCAAGUAAAACAAAAAUGCCUAACUAUAUAAACAAAGCGAAUUAUAAUACACUUGAAUAAUUUUGAACGAAAGGGAAUACGGUUCCAAUUCCGUAACCUGUUGAGUAUCCGUUUGUUAUUAAAUAUGGGCCUCGUGCUCAUCCUGGCAACAGGAACGACCAUAAAGAAGCCGUCGAGAGAUAUCGGAAGAGUUUUCUUUUCUGUUUUAUAGCCGUACUACCAUGGAAGUCUUUCGCAGAGAGAUAUGGUAGAUGGGCUAGAAGAGCAUGACAUAUACUGUUGUGUCGAUAUUUUCUCCUCGGACCUUGAAAAUUUAUGGUGGGGACACGCAAACUUCUCAACAGGCCGUACCAAUAUCCGCAGCUGGUCUCCAAGGUGAAGAGUCUCUAGUCGAUAGAAUAAUGUAGGUAAGGGAAGUCGGCAAAUUAGAUCCGUAACUUCGGGAUAAGGAUUGGCUCUGAAGAUUGAGAUAGUCGGGCUUGAUUGGGAAACAAUAACAUGUUUAUGUGCUCGUUCUGGGUAAAUAGAGUUUCUAGCAUUUAUGUUAGUUACUUGUUCCCCGGAUAGUUUAGUUACGUAGCCAAUUGUGGAACUUUCUUGCUAAAAUUUUUAAGAAUACUAUUUGGGUUAAACCAAUUAGUUCUUAUUAAUUAUAACGAUUAUCAAUUAACAAUCAAUUCAGAACUGGCACGGACUUGGGGAAUCCGACUGUCUAAUUAAAACAAAGCAUUGUGAUGGCCCUAGCGGGUGUUGACACAAUGUGAUUUCUGCCCAGUGCUCU